This is a long non-coding RNA of Rattus norvegicus (Norway rat), 1369 nucleotides long. NCBI's taxonomy places the organism in Eukaryota, Metazoa, Chordata, Mammalia, Rodentia, Muridae. The record is from Ensembl.
CCCCAACCCCCUCGUUCCUUGAACAUGAAAGAUUUGACUCAAUUAAAAAGAGUCUAAGUCCCUCAGUCAAGGAAGAUAUAAAACGAAAAGGUCCAUUUCUAACAGGAAAAAAGUCUGCAAGCUCCUUCAAGUUCAUCUUCCACAGAUUUCCAAGAGUUUGUAUAAAGAACAGUUUAUUCGUUAAGCUUUGAGCUCUCUCUUUGAAAUCCUGGACCUAAGAGUAGUAAGAAGACUGCGUGCAGUGUGUUGAAUAGUCUGUGGGACAUAGGAAGAUGACCUUGCAGUGCAGUGUCAUCUUUUGAUGAUGUGCAGUGAAGAGCUCGUCUAAUUGACAGGCUUCAAGGGGAAAGCCUGUGGCCAAGGAGUUUCGAGGUGUGGUUUGUAGACACCAGGCCCCUCCACAGGACGGGGAAUUGGACGGCAGAUCGGGAACUGAGAGAGGACAGAUGGACAAGGAAUGCAGAAUUAGAUGGUGCCUGGCGCAUACUGGGCGUACGGAAAACCAAACAAACCCCUGCUGAACAUUUCUGGCUCCACAGAGAGAUACCGAGAGCUGGAUAUAAAAUACAAUCUUAACCCAGAGUAUUUGUCUUCCUCGCUUACUUAUUUCUCUUUUAGACUUUUUCCUGAAUCUUGCAGUUUGGAUGACUUAGAAAUUCUGUCAAGACCGAAAGCCUAGCCUGGUUUUAUUCAACUAAGUGCGUCUUUUGUUCAUAGUUCCAAACAUCCUGUGUGGAGGUAGCGUGGUCGAGCGGUCUAAGGCGUUGGAUUAAGGCUCUAGUCUCUCUGGGGACAUGGGUUUGAAUCCAACUAAUACUUUCUUUUGGGACAGGGCAGUUUUUGGUCCCUAAUAUCAUUCAGGAUUCUCCUCUCCCACCAUCUGCUUUUCCAGGCUACUGAUAACAGUUACACAUAUCAUACCCACUGCACACCCAAGUAAUUGCGUCAAUUAACAGUUAAUAAUCCCAUAAUGUGUCUGGUACUCACUCCUCUAACUCUGCAUGUCCACUCCAAGAAAUGCUCCAGCAACAUAUUCCACACCGACUAUAGGCUACAUCCUGUAGAUUCUGCAGUUCUUCCUUGUUACCUUAGUCUACGAAUGAAGGAUUACUGUGGAACAUCACUUUCCGAGUCGACAUGCAACUAGAGACAGAUCGGCCUAGGGCACUGUAGAAGUGGAUUCUUUCCUAUCCGGGAGACCGAAAACUAAGUCUUCAUCAUCACCACAGACUUCUUUCUCAUUUCAUUUUGAACCUGAAUCACGUUCAUCUGAGCUGUGUGUGUCUAAGAAAUGCCUUGCAAAAGGAAGCAAAAAUGAUCAAAAUAUAUUGUAUAAAUUUUUCAAUAAAAAUAAAUUAAUUAACAAUGC